Molecule: ribosomal RNA, 912 nt
Filed under: Escherichia coli
Lineage: Bacteria; Pseudomonadati; Pseudomonadota; Gammaproteobacteria; Enterobacterales; Enterobacteriaceae
Description: partial 23S ribosomal RNA
Rfam family: Bacterial large subunit ribosomal RNA
Source: RNAcentral
UGAAAUUGAACUCGCUGUGAAGAUGCAGUGUACCCGCGGCAAGACGGAAAGACCCCGUGAACCUUUACUAUAGCUUGACACUGAACAUUGAGCCUUGAUGUGUAGGAUAGGUGGGAGGCUUUGAAGUGUGGACGCCAGUCUGCAUGGAGCCGACCUUGAAAUACCACCCUUUAAUGUUUGAUGUUCUAACGUGGACCCGUGAUCCGGGUUGCGGACAGUGUCUGGUGGGUAGUUUGACUGGGGCGGUCUCCUCCUAAAGAGUAACGGAGGAGCACGAAGGUUGGCUAAUCCUGGUCGGACAUCAGGAGGUUAGUGCAAUGGCAUAAGCCAGCUUGACUGCGAGCGUGACGGCGCGAGCAGGUGCGAAAGCAGGUCAUAGUGAUCCGGUGGUUCUGAAUGGAAGGGCCAUCGCUCAACGGAUAAAAGGUACUCCGGGGAUAACAGGCUGAUACCGCCCAAGAGUUCAUAUCGACGGCGGUGUUUGGCACCUCGAUGUCGGCUCAUCACAUCCUGGGGCUGAAGUAGGUCCCAAGGGUAUGGCUGUUCGCCAUUUAAAGUGGUACGCGAGCUGGGUUUAGAACGUCGUGAGACAGUUCGGUCCCUAUCUGCCGUGGGCGCUGGAGAACUGAGGGGGGCUGCUCCUAGUACGAGAGGACCGGAGUGGACGCAUCACUGGUGUUCGGGUUGUCAUGCCAAUGGCACUGCCCGGUAGCUAAAUGCGGAAGAGAUAAGUGCUGAAAGCAUCUAAGCACGAAACUUGCCCCGAGAUGAGUUCUCCCUGACCCUUUAAGGGUCCUGAAGGAACGUUGAAGACGACGACGUUGAUAGGCCGGGUGUGUAAGCGCAGCGAUGCGUUGAGCUAACCGGUACUAAUGAACCGUGAGGCUUAACCUUACAACGCCGAAGGUGUUU